GCAAGCUCAAUUUUAGAGGCACUUAUUCCUUCACUAAGGAAUUUAUUUUCUAAAAAAUAUGCCUUACUGCUGAUAAACACCUUUUGUUCAGUAGGCAGGUAAAAGUAAUAUCCCCUUAUUUUCUUGGGGUACCCUACGAAAUUACACUUAUCGGACUUAGGAUUGAGCUUGUCAGUUUGUAAUCAUUUAACAUAAGUUGGACACCUUCACACC
This 213-nucleotide long non-coding RNA is filed under the name Elaeis guineensis (African oil palm). Its description in RNAcentral is "long non-coding RNA (EGUI_LNC076790)". The record is from RNAcentral. Lineage: Eukaryota; Viridiplantae; Streptophyta; Magnoliopsida; Arecales; Arecaceae.